This 358-nucleotide ribosomal RNA is filed under the name uncultured bacterium. RNAcentral's name for it is "bacterial SSU rRNA". It matches the Rfam family "Bacterial small subunit ribosomal RNA", at positions 8 to 353 of the family's 1533-position model. The record is from RNAcentral.
AGAGUUUGAUCAUGGCUCAGGAUGAACGCUAGCUACAGGCUUAACACAUGCAAGUCGAGGGGAAACGACAUCGGAAGCUUGCUUUUUGAUGGGCGUCGACCGGCGCACGGGUGAGUAACGCGUAUCCAACCUGCCCACCACUUGGGGAUAACCUUGCGAAAGUAAGACUAAUACCCAAUGAUAUCUCUAGAAGACAUCUGAAAGAGAUUAAAAGAUUUAUCGGUGAUGGAUGGGGAUGCGUCUGAUUAGCUUGUUGGCGGGGUAACGGCCCACCAAGGCGACGAUCAGUAGGGGUUCUGAGAGGAAGGUCCCCCACAUUGGAACUGAGACACGGUCCAAACUCCUACGGGAGGCAGCA